GGGAACGGACAUCGCCACGCAAGCCCUGCUGUAGGCUGGGUGCGCCACGGCUCAGCUGCCCCGACCAGUCCGCGGCCUCGGGCACCUCCAGGCACGGGGCGCCCACGGCUGUGCGCGGUGCCGGGGACUCGCCGCCGUCCGCAUGAAGAAUUUCACAUCUAACCCAAAUCUCCCCUCGUUUGAUUUAAAACCGUUCCCCUGUGAUAACAGCAGGACAGGGGGAAAUGGUUUGAAGUGGAGGGAGGGCAGAUGGAGGUUGGAUGUCAGGGGGAAGUUGUGUGCUGUGAGAGUGGUGAGGUGCUGGAACAGCUGCCCAGAGAGGCUGUGAUGCCCCGUCCAUCCCUGGAGGUGUUGAAGGCCAGGUUGGAUGGGGCCCUGGGCAGCCUGGGCUGCUGUGAAAUGUGGAGGUUGGUGGCCCUGCAUGGCACAGGGGGGUUGGAGCUUCGUGAUCCUUGAGGUCCCUUCCAACCCGGGCCGUUCUGUGACUCUGUAUCACCCACCAGACUUCCCCCUGCUCUGACCCUUGGUGUUUGGGAUUGAUCCAUUGCUCUUGGAAAUGGUGACUCAGCACAAGUGCGUGGCAACACCCAGGUGCAAAAUGUGACCAGUGAUCAGCCUGGCCCUUGGUGUAUGGCUGCUGGGGGACAACACAGACAGAACCUAAGAAGGAUGGGAAAAGGAGCUAAGCCCUCAACAAAUGGAGAUUGCCCAAGGAGGCUGUGGAUGCCCCAUCCCUGCAGGCAUUCAAGGCCAGGCUGGAUGUGGCUCUGGGCAGCCUGGGCUGCUGGUUGGCGACCUGCACACAGCAGGGCUUGGAACUGGAUGAGCACUGUGCUCCUGUGCAACCCAGGCCAUUGUGUGAUACUAUGAUUUUAUAUAUAUAUAAAAUAAAGCCUGUUGAUUCUUUGAAGCA
Long non-coding RNA from Tympanuchus pallidicinctus (lesser prairie-chicken), 913 nucleotides. RefSeq lists it as uncharacterized. The transcript has 2 exons. The record is from RefSeq and is a predicted model, not a curated record. NCBI's taxonomy places the organism in Eukaryota, Metazoa, Chordata, Aves, Galliformes, Phasianidae.